Heterocephalus glaber (naked mole-rat) is the source of this 394-nucleotide long non-coding RNA. The record is from Ensembl. NCBI's taxonomy places the organism in Eukaryota, Metazoa, Chordata, Mammalia, Rodentia, Bathyergidae.
UAUCAGCCCACUUAAGGCUCACCCUAUCAAUAGAGUUGUGAAUUUCUUCUAGAAAAAUGAAUGCUGAUGAAAAGUACGAGAAGGAAGGAGAGAGCCUGGGAGCCAGUAGGAGAGUUAAAGUAAAGCCCAAGCCAGAGUAUCCUCCUCUCCCACUAAAAGUCAAAAGCAAAGAAGAUAAUUGAAUCAAUGAGCUCUUCAAAGCAUUCAAAUUUAGAAGCAAGUAAGGAAAACGUGUCUCAACCAAAAAAGAGCAAAAAGGAAAUUAUACACAAAUGAAAUUUCAUCUCCUAUUGAUGUAUCCGGCCAAGUGAUUUUAGUGGACCAGAAAGUGAAGGAAAGUGAUCACCAGAUUCUCAAACGACGACUUCCAUCACAAAUAGCCAAAUAAAUCACC